RNAcentral lists this ribosomal RNA (2845 nucleotides) under Moraxella catarrhalis. RNAcentral's name for it is "23S ribosomal RNA". It matches the Rfam family "Bacterial large subunit ribosomal RNA". Lineage: Bacteria; Pseudomonadati; Pseudomonadota; Gammaproteobacteria; Moraxellales; Moraxellaceae. The record is from RNAcentral.
UCAAGUAAUGAAGUGCACAUGGUGGAUGCCUUGGCAGUCAGAGGCGAUGAAAGACGUGAUAGCCUGCGAUAAGCGUCGGUGAGGUGGCAAUAUCCUGUGACCCGGCGAUUUCUGAAUGGGGAAACCCAACCAACAUAAGUUGGUUAUUACACAGUUUACUGUGUAAGGCAAACCGGGAGAAGUGAAACAUCUCAGUACCCCGAGGAAAAGACAUCAAAUGAGAUUCCGUAAGUAGCGGCGAGCGAACACGGAGGAGCCGAUCAAUUUUACAGUAGCAAAAUGGCGUGGGAAAGCCAACCAUAGUAGGUGAUAGUCCUGUAUGCGAAACUGUUUAAGCGACAUAUUAAGUAGGGCGGAACACGAGAAAUUCUGUCUGAAGAUGGGGGGACCAUCCUCCAAGGCUAAAUACUCCUGACUGACCGAUAGUGAACCAGUACCGUGAGGGAAAGGCGAAAAGAACCCCUGUUAGGGGAGUGAAAUAGAACCUGAAACCGUGUGCAUACAAGCAGUCGGAGCUGACGGCGUACCUUUUGUAUAAUGGGUCAGCGACUUAUAUUCUGUAGCAAGGUUAACCGAAUAGGGGAGCCGUAGGGAAACCGAGUCUUAAUAGGGCGAAUGAGUUGCAGGGUAUAGACCCGAAACCGAGUGAUCUAUCCAUGAGCAGGUUGAAAGUGCCGUAACAGGCACCGGAGGACCGAACCCACUGUCGUUGAAAAGCCAGGGGAUGACUUGUGGAUAGGGGUGAAAGGCUAAUCAAACUCGGUGAUAGCUGGUUCUCCCCGAAAGCUAUUUAGGUAGCGCCUCGGACGAAUACCAUUGGGGGUAGAGCACUGUUUCGGCUAGGGGGUCACACCGACUUACCAAACCGAUGCAAACUCCGAAUACCGAUGAGUAAUAUCCGGGAGACAGACGGCGGGUGCUAACGUCCGUCGUCAAGAGGGAAACAACCCAGACCGCCAGCUAAGGCCCCAAAUUCCUAGUUAAGUGGGAAACGAUGUGGGAAGGCACAGACAGCUAGGAGGUUGGCUUAGAAGCAGCCACCCUUUAAAGAAAGCGUAAUAGCUCACUAGUCGAGUCGGCCUGCGCGGAAGAUGUAACGGGGCUCAAACUAGGAGCCGAAGCUGCGGAUUUAAUUGUUUCAAUUAAGUGGUAGGGGAGCGUUGUGUAAGCCUGUGAAGGUGCACUGUAAGGUGUGCUGGAGGUAUCACAAGAGCGAAUGCUGACGUGAGUAACGACAAAACGGGUGAAAAGCCCGUUCGCCGGAAGACCAAGGGUUCCAGUCCAACGUUAAUCGGGGCUGGGUGAGUCGACCCCUAAGGCGAGGCCGAAAGGCGUAGUCGAUGGGAAAUCGGUUAAUAUUCCGAUACUUGUUUAUGAUGCGAUGGAGGGACGGAGAAGGUUAUGCCAGCCUGGCGAUGGUUGUCCAGGUGGAAGGAUGUAGUUAGACUGAGUAGGCAAAUCCGCUCGGUUAUUAAUGAGAUCUGAUAGCAAGCCAGUUUACUGGCAAAGUGGCAAAUACCCUGCUUCCAGGAAAAGCUUCUAAGCGAUAGUCAUAAACGAAUCGUACCCGAAACCGACACAGGUGGUCAGGUAGAGAAUACCAAGGCGCUUGAGAGAACUCUGCUGAAGGAACUAGGCAAAAUGGUACCGUAACUUCGGGAGAAGGUACGCUGCCGAUGGUGAUAAGACUUGCUCUUUGAGCUGUUGGCAGUCGCAGAUACCAGGCUGCUGCAACUGUUUAUUAAAAACACAGCACUCUGCAAACACGAAAGUGGACGUAUAGGGUGUGAUGCCUGCCCGGUGCUGGAAGGUUAAUUGAUGGGGUUAGCGUAAGCGAAGCUCUUGAUCGAAGCCCCAGUAAACGGCGGCCGUAACUAUAACGGUCCUAAGGUAGCGAAAUUCCUUGUCGGGUAAGUUCCGACCUGCACGAAUGGCAUAAUGAUGGCAGCGCUGUCUCCAGCAGAGACUCAGUGAAAUCGAAAUCGCAGUGAAGAUGCUGUGUACCCGCGGCUAGACGGAAAGACCCCGUGAACCUUUACUACAGCUUUACAUUGAACUUUGACCUAACUUGUGUAGGAUAGGUGGGAGGCUUUGAAGCAGAUACGCCAGUAUUUGUGGAGCCAACCUUGAAAUACCACCCUGGUUAUGUUGGGGUUCUAACUUAGGAUCAACAAAUCCAAGGACAAUGUAUGGUGGGUAGUUUGACUGGGGCGGUCUCCUCCUAAAGAGUAACGGAGGAGUACGAAGGUGCGCUCAGAACGGUCGGAAAUCGUUCAAAGAGUAUAAAGGCAAAAGCGCGCUUAACUGCGAGACCCACAAGUCGAGCAGGUACGAAAGUAGGUCUUAGUGAUCCGGUGGUUCUGUAUGGAAGGGCCAUCGCUCAACGGAUAAAAGGUACUCUGGGGAUAACAGGCUGAUACCGCCCAAGAGUUCAUAUCGACGGCGGUGUUUGGCACCUCGAUGUCGGCUCAUCUCAUCCUGGGGCUGAAGCAGGUCCCAAGGGUAUGGCUGUUCGCCAUUUAAAGAGGUACGCGAGCUGGGUUUAGAACGUCGUGAGACAGUUCGGUCCCUAUCUACCGUGGGCGUUGGAAAUUUGAGAGGAUCUGCUCCUAGUACGAGAGGACCAGAGUGGACGAACCUCUGGUGUUUCGGUUGUCACGCCAGUGGCAUUGCCGAGUAGCUAUGUUCGGAUGGGAUAACCGCUGAAAGCAUCUAAGCGGGAAGCCCACCUCAAGAUAAGAUUUCCCUAAAGAGCCGUUGUAGACGACGACGUUGAUAGGUUGGGUGUGGAAGUGUAGUGAUACAUGUAGCUAACCAAUACUAAUUGCUCGUUUGGCUUGACCAU